RNAcentral lists this ribosomal RNA (464 nucleotides) under Vreelandella stevensii. Its description in RNAcentral is "partial 16S ribosomal RNA". It matches the Rfam family "Bacterial small subunit ribosomal RNA", at positions 339 to 795 of the family's 1533-position model. The record is from RNAcentral. Lineage: Bacteria; Pseudomonadati; Pseudomonadota; Gammaproteobacteria; Oceanospirillales; Halomonadaceae.
CCUCGGGAGGCUGCAGUGGGGAAUAUUGGACAAUGGGCGAAAGCCUGAUCCAGCCAUGCCGCGUGUGUGAAGAAGGCCUUCGGGUUGUAAAGCACUUUCAGUGGGGAAGAAAGCCUUGGGGCUAAUACCCUCGAGGAAGGACAUCACCCACAGAAGAAGCACCGGCUAACUCCGUGCCAGCAGCCGCGGUAAUACGGAGGGUGCGAGCGUUAAUCGGAAUUACUGGGCGUAAAGCGCGCGUAGGCGGUCUGAUAAGCCGGUUGUGAAAGCCCCGGGCUCAACCUGGGAACGGCAUCCGGAACUGUCAGGCUAGAGUGCAGGAGAGGAAGGUAGAAUUCCCGGUGUAGCGGUGAAAUGCGUAGAGAUCGGGAGGAAUACCAGUGGCGAAGGCGGCCUUCUGGACUGACACUGACGCUGAGGUGCGAAAGCGUGGGUAGCAAACAGGAUUAGAUACCCCUGUAGUC